Salarias fasciatus (jewelled blenny) is the source of this 547-nucleotide long non-coding RNA. RefSeq lists it as uncharacterized. The transcript is spliced from 3 exons. Lineage: Eukaryota; Metazoa; Chordata; Actinopteri; Blenniiformes; Blenniidae. The record is from RefSeq and is a predicted model, not a curated record.
UCGCUCUCUUUCACCCACUAAGAGGAAACAAUCUUCACAGUUGGGCCAUCUGUCACAAUGCUGCAGGCUGUACUUUUCUGGCUUUUCCUGCUUCGAGUCCAGUCCAGUGUUCCUCCUGUGUUCGUCCAGAAAGGCAAAGAUGUACUUCUGGAUGUCGACAAUGUGACUGAAGACUGUAAUUUAUUUGUAUGGAGACUUGAUGAAGAGAGUUUGAGUUUAGUCACUUUUUUCCCUGAUGGCAAAUCAAAAAUCUCUCCAGCUUACACUGGAAGGAUUGAUCACCCUGACAACAAGAAAUACUCUGUGAUACUGAAGAACCUACAAGAGACAGACAGUAGAGUUUAUUCUGCAUGAGUGACAACAGACGAUGGCGACUCCACAUUAGUCCAACACAACAUCAUAGUUCAAGAUGUUGUGUCUCCCGUCCAGCUGGAGGUGAACUCUGUAUCAAGCAGCUCACACUCCUGUAACGUCACUCUGACCUGCAGCACGGCCGACUCUCACAUCAGCAGCACUUUCAGAUGUAUCGAUCAAAAAUGUGAUCAGG